CAAUCUCUGGCCAUCUGAAUACUAAGAUCUGAGGCCUGAGAGUAGAAUGAUUUUUCCUUUUUCUCUGGGCCAGUAGCAUGGGAUUCUCUAGGCAAGUCAAAGUCAUUACUUUGAUUGGUUCCUGUCUCUCCAACAACUUUAACCUCUACCUCAAUGCUUUCCAUAUCAUUGUUGGCAACCACAUCCUGGACCUUUGACUCUCCCACAUUCAUGCACUGACUAAUUUGAGAAUUCUCAGAGGACGAGGCAGCUCUGGAUAGUAUUUCUGAUGGGGUUAUAAGAUGGGUUGGGUGUUUAAACAUUACAGGAGAUUCAGGAACCACUGAGAUGUCAGUUUGUGCAAUGUUUUUCUCACCCUUCCUCAAAUUGUCACCUGAAGGGAUAUCAGCCAUGUUUUCCUUUGCAGUAUCCAUUCUGUGCUCGACCAAAUAAUCAAGGCCAGGCUGGUCAACAUGAUCACUAGGUUGCAUACUAGGCUCAAUGCUAUUUGAUGGACCUUGGAAACCUGACAAUUUUCGAGAUAACUGUGGACUCAAUGGAAGUGAAGGAGACACAGUGUUGAGAUUUCCAAUACUAUUUUGAGAUGGCAAAGCACUAGCCUUGGUUUCUACAACUGAAGUAGCACUAUCUGGUAAGGUGUUAACCUCAGCAGAAGUCAAGCUUUCAGGAUGGCUUGCUGCGGGAGCGUUUUCAGAACUGCUUGAAACCAUAGGUUGUAUGGGAGUCCCUUUUCCUAUGGGAACGUCAACUGUUUUACUUCCAUGAGAUGAUUCCGUGAUAGUGGAACCAUCAGAACUAGCAGCAUAAAAAACAUGAGAAACAUUGGAUUCUGUUUUCUCCAACUCCACGUUCUCCAGUGGCGGUGGUAGGCACUGUGACAAAUCCAAUGC
RNAcentral lists this unclassified non-coding RNA (890 nucleotides) under Hevea brasiliensis (rubber tree). The record is from RNAcentral. Lineage: Eukaryota; Viridiplantae; Streptophyta; Magnoliopsida; Malpighiales; Euphorbiaceae.